This 378-nucleotide unclassified non-coding RNA is filed under the name plant metagenome. RNAcentral describes it as "partial contains 5.8S ribosomal RNA, internal transcribed spacer 2, and large subunit ribosomal RNA". The stretch from base 1 to 105 matches the Rfam family "5.8S ribosomal RNA", at positions 50 to 154 of the family's 154-position model. The record is from RNAcentral.
GAAAUGCGAUAAGUAAUGUGAAUUGCAGAAUUCAGUGAAUCAUCGAAUCUUUGAACGCACCUUGCGCUCCUUGGUAUUCCUUGGAGCAUGCCUGUUUGAGUAUCAUGAAAUCUUCAAAGUAAAUCUUUUGUUAACUCAAUUGGUUUCUACUUUGGUAUUGGAGGUCUUUGCAGCUUCACACCUGCUCCUCUUUGUUCAUUAGCUGGAUCUCAGUGUUAUGCUUGGUUCCACUCGGAGUGAUAAGUUAUCUAUCGCUGAGGACACUGUAAAAGGUGGCCAAGGUAAAUGCAGAUGAACCGCUUCUAAUAGUCCAUUGACUUGGACAAUACUUUUAUGAUCUGAUCUCAAAUCAGGUAGGACUACCCGCUGAACUUAAGC